Molecule: non-coding RNA, 101 nt
Organism: Acanthosepion pharaonis
Lineage: Eukaryota; Metazoa; Mollusca; Cephalopoda; Sepiida; Sepiidae
Source: the annotation of a GenBank genome assembly
CACGUUGAAACACCGGCUCUCGUACGAACACCCAAGUUAAGCGGCGUCGAGCCUGGUCAGUACCUAGAUGAGUGAUUGCUUGGGAAUACCAAGUGCUGUGA